This 776-nucleotide ribosomal RNA is filed under the name uncultured Neocallimastigales. RNAcentral's name for it is "partial large subunit ribosomal RNA". It matches the Rfam family "Eukaryotic large subunit ribosomal RNA", at positions 23 to 642 of the family's 3401-position model. Lineage: Eukaryota; Fungi; Neocallimastigomycota; Neocallimastigomycetes; Neocallimastigales. The record is from RNAcentral.
ACACGCAUGACACACUGCAUAUCAAUAAGCGGAGGAAAAGAAACUAACAAGGAUUCCCUCAGUAACGGCGAGUGAAGCGGGAAGAGCUCAAAUUUGAAAUCUUAAAGGGUUUUCCCUUUACGAAUUGUAGUUUAAAGAAGUGUUUUCUGUUGGAGUUUCGGUAAAAGUUCUUUGGAAUAGGACAUCAUAGAGGGUGAGAAUCCCGUAUUUGACCGUUACUUUCCAGCUGUGUGAUACACUUUCAAAGAGUCGGAUUGUUUGGGAAUGCAGUCCAAAAUGGGUGGUAAAUUUCAUCUAAAGCUAAAUAUUGGCGAGAGACCGAUAGCGAACAAGUACCGUGAGGGAAAGAUGAAAAGAACUUUGAAAAGAGAGUUAAACAGUACGUGAAAUUGUCAAAAGGGAAGCGUUUGACACCAGUGUUGUUUUUCCGAAAAUCAAUUACGAAUGUUUUGUUUUUGAGGAGUUAUGACUUCAUCGGCUUGCUUCUCUCUUUACGAAACUUUCUUAAUGCACUUUUCGGUUAACAAGUCAACAUCAAUUUCUUUUGUUGUAAAAGGGUAUGAGGAAGGUGGCUUUCUUUUCGGAGAGAGUGUUUAUAGCCUUGUGCCUCUGCAAUCGGAGAGAUUGAGGUCUGCAGCGUAGAUCCUUCGGGGUUAGAUACAUUUGUGCUAAGUUAUAGCUUUUCAUAGACAACUUGUUGACUAUGUUAAGUCUUGUAGCUUACUCGCUUAUGCUAUUUUACCUACGCUUAGGAUGUUGAAGACUCUACAGAGAUA